GAACAGAUACACAGAUUCCAACCAACACACCAAUUUGAUACCUAAUGCCUUUUUGGAAUGUUUGAAGUAUAUAAAUUAUGCCCAACACUCAUUGGUAUAACAGAAGAAAAAGGUGUGCCCAUCACUCAUCAGAAUGUUUGAGGAAAAAUUUUUGCUCAUCCACAUAUAGUCGAAGUAGCCCGUACACAAUCUAUCCUAUGAGAUGCCAACAAUAUUUGACUCUGCUCAAAUAUUU
Molecule: long non-coding RNA, 235 nt
Filed under: Gossypium barbadense (sea-island cotton)
Lineage: Eukaryota; Viridiplantae; Streptophyta; Magnoliopsida; Malvales; Malvaceae
Description: long non-coding RNA (GBAR_LNC007426)
Source: RNAcentral